Molecule: long non-coding RNA, 416 nt
Organism: Dunckerocampus dactyliophorus (ringed pipefish)
Lineage: Eukaryota; Metazoa; Chordata; Actinopteri; Syngnathiformes; Syngnathidae
Exons: 3
Source: RefSeq, a predicted model, not a curated record
AGGCAAACCAGGGUCACUUUUACACCAUUCCAGGUGCAGGAGCUGGAGAAUGUGUUCCAGCAGACUCACUACCCAGAUGUGAACACCAGAGAGCAGUUGGCCUCAUGUCUGCACCUCACUGAGGGACGCAUACAGAUCUGGUUUCAGAACCGUCGAGCUAAAUGGAGGAAAAGUCAAAGCUUAAAGGAUGCCCAGCAAGCAUACGCAUCUAUUAACCCCCUGCUCUAUUAUGAGAAGCCACAACUGGUGGCAGCGUGUUGGCUGCCAUUUUGCUCACAUGUGUCGCUGCAAUCAAGAUUGUUCCUCACAGCAAAGUCACCCCCCACACAUAGGACAUGUCACAGGAGUCUGUAUUUGGCGGCCGACAGCCAGAAAGGGACCACUCCUGUACAUGAUGACACAAUCAGGUUGUGACA